Molecule: ribosomal RNA, 486 nt
Filed under: uncultured bacterium
Lineage: Bacteria
Description: bacterial SSU rRNA
Rfam family: Bacterial small subunit ribosomal RNA
Source: RNAcentral
UAUGGCGUCAGGAGUGAACGCUGGCGGCGUGCAUAACACAUUCAAGUCGAACGGUGAAGUCCCUCGGGGACGGAGCAGUGGCGGACGGGUGAGUAACGCGUGAGCAACCUGCCAUACGAUGGGGGAUAACACAGGGAAACUUGUGCUAAUACCGCAUGACACAUCGGGACCGCAUGAUCCUGAUGUCAAAGAUUCAUUGCUGUAUGAUGGGCUCGCGUAUGAUUAGACAGUUGGCAGGGUAACGGCCUACCAAAUCAACGAUCAUUAGCCGAACUGAGAGGUUGAACGGCCACAUUGGAACUGAGAAACGGUCCAGACUCCUACGGGAGGCAGCAGUGGGGAAUAUUGGGCAAUGGGCGAAAGCCUGACCCAAGCGACGCCGCGUGAGGGAAGAAGGUCUUCGGAUUGUAAACCUCUUUCAGCAGGGAAGAAGAGAGUGACGGUACCUGCAGAAGAAGUCACGGCUAACUACGUGCCAGCCGCGGC